RNAcentral lists this ribosomal RNA (468 nucleotides) under uncultured bacterium. RNAcentral's name for it is "partial 16S ribosomal RNA". It matches the Rfam family "Bacterial small subunit ribosomal RNA", at positions 28 to 507 of the family's 1533-position model. The record is from RNAcentral.
GACGAACGCUGGCGGCGUGCUUAACACAUGCAAGUCGAACGGAAAGGCCCUUCUUUUGUGGGGUGCUCGAGUGGCGAACGGGUGAGUAACACGUGAGUAACCUGCCCUUUACUUUGGGAUAACUUCAGGAAACUGGGGCUAAUACCGGAUAGGAGCUCCUGCUGCAUGGUGGGGGUUGGAAAGUUUCGGCGGUUGGGGAUGGACUCGCGGCUUAUCAUCUUGUUGGUGGGGUAGUGGCUUACCAAGGCUUUGACGGGUAGCCGGCCUGAGAGGGUGACCGGACACAUUGGGACUGAGAUACGGCCCAGACUCCUACGGGAGGCAGCAGUGGGGAAUAUUGCACAAUGGGCGGAAGCCUGAUGCAGCAACGCCGCGUGCGGGAUGACGGCCUUCGGGGUGUAAACCGCUUUCGCCUGUGACGAAGCGUGAGUGACGGUAAUGGGUAAAGAAGCACCGGCUAACUACGUG